This 69-nucleotide transfer RNA is filed under the name Parasteatoda cingulata. RNAcentral's name for it is "tRNA-Arg". Lineage: Eukaryota; Metazoa; Arthropoda; Arachnida; Araneae; Theridiidae. The record is from RNAcentral.
AUGAUAAGAGCUAUAAGGCAGCUUAAUUUCGACUUAAGUUUAGGAUAUAUUAGUGAAUUUCAUAUCAUU